GUCAGCGAUAAAAAGGAAUGCUGGUUUACCUCGAGACUACAAUUAAAAAAUAGCUUUUCUUUUAUUAAGUACAAAGCGAUGGUCAUGUGAGAGUUAUGGUAAAGUCUAUUGAAGAAUACAGGAAACUUGUUAAAACUCUUACUAAAGAUUUUGUCAAAUUUCACACAAACCAACUUAAACAUGAGAGGGCAUUCAGAGCUGUUAUUAAGAAUUUGCACUUCUCAACGGAUAUCGACAUAAUCAAACAAGAUGUUGAGUCCAAAGGUCACGCUGUUAGAAACAUUAGUAAUAUUAAAAGUCGUGUAACCAAAGAGCCAUUGAAUUUGAUCUACUUAGACAUUGAGCCCAACAAUAAGAACUUAGAUAUAUACAAAGUUAAACUCAUUGGUAACGCAGUUUUUAAUAUAGAACCACCCCGUAAAACCAAAGAAAUCGUUCAGUGUUAUCGUUGCCAGGAAUUUGGACACACAAAGUCAUGUUGUGCCAAAACUCACAAAUGUGUGAAAUGCUCUCUUAACCAUCCCAGCAACGUUUGCCCAAAAGAUAAAGAGCAACCAGAAAAAUGUGCCAACUGCAACGAAGAUCAUACUGCUAGUUACAAAGGGUGUAAAGGCUAUCAGGAUCUUAUAUCAAAACGUGAAGGGAGGUGUGAGACGCUUCUUACGCGUCACAACUUUUAUACCCGGCACUCAGGACUACAUCUAGAUGUAGACGACAUCGCCAAGCACUAGAUAUCGUUCACAUUACAGAACACGUAGUAAGAGCCUACUAAAUAAAAUGCAUCAAACAAAUUGGAUCAGUUAAUAUUUUCCAAUUUAUGAGAUAUUUAAAACAGCAAUAAAGUUGGUACAUUCUUGGACCGAUAGGUUUCACAGCAAAUUUUUCGAGAGUGGCGCCAUCUAUGAAAAUUUCUUGUACGCAACUUUGAUGGUCCAAUGGUCUGCACAUUCUGUGCAAUAAUGACCGAUAGGUUUCACAGUACGCAACUUUGAUGGUCACUCUUUUUCUAAUACAGAGCGUUAAAAACCGAGUCUUUGUUAAAAGUCGGAAGAGUCAACGCCAGGGGGUGGGCAGAGGCAGGGGCCGAGUGAAUCAGAAGCAGAGUGUGAAUGAGAGAAUGUAAAAAGAACAACAAAAGCUGCUGGACAGGGUGGGUUUAGCCACAGGAAAUUAGUUUCUCCAUUGUGGCUAUAAUAAGGAUCCGAUCGGAUCUUAAUUUGGCGAUCUGAUAGAUAUGGCAAUUUCCUACGGAAUUUAGUUUUCUUUUAUAUUCAAAACUGUAGAUUUUGGAGGUUUUCGCCCUUUUGCGGGGGCGGAAGGGGGCGUGGCUCAUUUUUUAAAUACACUGAUUUCAGUGUGAGCAUACAGCAGUCUGGUGGCUCUAGCUCUUAUAGUCUCUGAGAACUAGCCGACAAACAAGACGGACUCGGCUAUUGAUGCUGAUCAAGAAUAUAUAUACUUUAUGGGGUCGGAAACGCUUCCUUCUGUGCGUUACAUACAACCGUUAUUCGCACAAAUACAAUAUACCCUAUUUACUCUUUGAGUACCGGGUAUAAAAAUGACCAUGGUACAUAUCAAUCAUUUGCUCCGUUUAAUAAUUCGACCCAACAACCCAAAGAUUACCAAUCAUACGCUCAAGAUGCUGCAGGAAAUAGUACCUCGAACAAGUCUCUAGAAGAAUAGAACAGCCUUUAGAAAAACAAU
RNAcentral lists this long non-coding RNA (1704 nucleotides) under Drosophila guanche. The record is from RNAcentral. Lineage: Eukaryota; Metazoa; Arthropoda; Insecta; Diptera; Drosophilidae.